RNAcentral lists this ribosomal RNA (253 nucleotides) under uncultured bacterium. Its description in RNAcentral is "partial 16S ribosomal RNA". It matches the Rfam family "Bacterial small subunit ribosomal RNA", at positions 524 to 776 of the family's 1533-position model. The record is from RNAcentral.
UACGUAGGUGGCAAGCGUUAUCCGGAAUUAUUGGGCGUAAAGCGCGCGCAGGCGGUUUCUUAAGUCUGAUGGGAAAGCCCACGGCUCAACCGUGGAGGGUCAUUGGAAACUGGGGAACUUGAGUGCAGAAGAGAAAAGCGGAAUUCCACGUGUAGCGGUGAAAUGCGUAGAGAUGUGGAGGAACACCAGUGGCGAAGGCGGCUUUUUGGUCUGUAACUGACGCUGAGGCGCGAAAGCGUGGGGAGCAAACAGG